Molecule: ribosomal RNA, 1534 nt
Filed under: Klebsiella pneumoniae
Lineage: Bacteria; Pseudomonadati; Pseudomonadota; Gammaproteobacteria; Enterobacterales; Enterobacteriaceae
Description: bacterial SSU rRNA
Rfam family: Bacterial small subunit ribosomal RNA
Source: RNAcentral
UUGAAGAGUUUGAUCAUGGCUCAGAUUGAACGCUGGCGGCAGGCCUAACACAUGCAAGUCGAGCGGUAGCACAGAGAGCUUGCUCUCGGGUGACGAGCGGCGGACGGGUGAGUAAUGUCUGGGAAACUGCCUGAUGGAGGGGGAUAACUACUGGAAACGGUAGCUAAUACCGCAUAACGUCGCAAGACCAAAGUGGGGGACCUUCGGGCCUCAUGCCAUCAGAUGUGCCCAGAUGGGAUUAGCUAGUAGGUGGGGUAACGGCUCACCUAGGCGACGAUCCCUAGCUGGUCUGAGAGGAUGACCAGCCACACUGGAACUGAGACACGGUCCAGACUCCUACGGGAGGCAGCAGUGGGGAAUAUUGCACAAUGGGCGCAAGCCUGAUGCAGCCAUGCCGCGUGUGUGAAGAAGGCCUUCGGGUUGUAAAGCACUUUCAGCGGGGAGGAAGGCGUUAAGGUUAAUAACCUUGGCGAUUGACGUUACCCGCAGAAGAAGCACCGGCUAACUCCGUGCCAGCAGCCGCGGUAAUACGGAGGGUGCAAGCGUUAAUCGGAAUUACUGGGCGUAAAGCGCACGCAGGCGGUCUGUCAAGUCGGAUGUGAAAUCCCCGGGCUCAACCUGGGAACUGCAUUCGAAACUGGCAGGCUAGAGUCUUGUAGAGGGGGGUAGAAUUCCAGGUGUAGCGGUGAAAUGCGUAGAGAUCUGGAGGAAUACCGGUGGCGAAGGCGGCCCCCUGGACAAAGACUGACGCUCAGGUGCGAAAGCGUGGGGAGCAAACAGGAUUAGAUACCCUGGUAGUCCACGCCGUAAACGAUGUCGAUUUGGAGGUUGUGCCCUUGAGGCGUGGCUUCCGGAGCUAACGCGUUAAAUCGACCGCUCUGGGGAGUACGGCCGCAAGGUUAAAACUCAAAUGAAUUGACGGGGGCCCGCACAAGCGGUGGAGCAUGUGGUUUAAUUCGAUGCAACGCGAAGAACCUUACCUGGUCUUGACAUCCACAGAACUUUCCAGAGAUGGAUUGGUGCCUUCGGGAACUGUGAGACAGGUGCUGCAUGGCUGUCGUCAGCUCGUGUUGUGAAAUGUUGGGUUAAGUCCCGCAACGAGCGCAACCCUUAUCCUUUGUUGCCAGCGGUUCGGCCGGGAACUCAAAGGAGACUGCCAGUGAUAAACUGGAGGAAGGUGGGGAUGACGUCAAGUCAUCAUGGCCCUUACGACCAGGGCUACACACGUGCUACAAUGGCAUAUACAAAGAGAAGCGACCUCGCGAGAGCAAGCGGACCUCAUAAAGUAUGUCGUAGUCCGGAUUGGAGUCUGCAACUCGACUCCAUGAAGUCGGAAUCGCUAGUAAUCGUGAUCAGAAUGCUACGGUGAAUACGUUCCCGGGCCUUGUACACACCGCCCGUCACACCAUGGGAGUGGGUUGCAAAAGAAGUAGGUAGCAACCUUCGGGAGGGCGCUUACCACUUUGUGAUUCAUGACUGGGGUGAAGUCGUAACAAGGUAACCGUAGGGGAACCUGCGGUUGGAUCACCUCCUU